Molecule: long non-coding RNA, 737 nt
Filed under: Zostera marina
Lineage: Eukaryota; Viridiplantae; Streptophyta; Magnoliopsida; Alismatales; Zosteraceae
Description: long non-coding RNA (ZMAR_LNC005107)
Source: RNAcentral
UAAAAUAAAAUAAAAAAUAAAUGUCGCAUAUUGGGUAGCAUAUGCGACCAGGCGCUCGCAUAUGCGACCCCAGGCAUCGCCUGGCCGCCUGAAAAAGCUUGCUUGACACAUAGAAUAAUCUUCUUGGGAUGGGCUGAAAACUCGAAGAGCAGUGGGAAACAAAGGUAGUCGUCACUCGAAUUUGUACUUUUACAGUUUUACAUGGAAUAUGGUAUAAAACACAGUAUUAGUUUUCUAUUUUACACAGUACAUCACGAAACAUAAGUAAUUUAUUUUUUACACAAUACAUAGCAUACAAUUAUACAUCAUGAAAGAUAUAUUUGUAUUUAUCUAACUGUUGUUUUAAUAUUUUUCUUCUUAUUAUAAAAGAAAUAGCCAAAGAUGAUGAAAAAAAACAUAAAAAACAUGCAAAGCGUAUCAUAGCAAAAGAAGAGCGACUCAAAGUUCGUCCACCUCGCUUGAGAAAAUACAAGUAAUCUACUCAAUCUAAAUUUUCCAAAUCCCUUUUGAAACUGUUGGUCUUACAUCAUCCAUGCUUUUGUCUUAAAAUGUAUUUUCUCUUUCUGCUGUUAUUAACUAAAUGAUAUGAACAUAUUCCUUAUGUAUUUCUGUUAGGCGGUGGUCCGCUCUUUCCAUAUUCCCUAUGUAUCUCUUUUCAUGUGUUUAAACUUUAAACUAGUUAUUAACCUAUUAUUGUAAUUAAAUGACGUUGAUUUGAAUUAUUUAUUAAAUGCAUG